Molecule: long non-coding RNA, 2061 nt
Organism: Vicia villosa (hairy vetch)
Lineage: Eukaryota; Viridiplantae; Streptophyta; Magnoliopsida; Fabales; Fabaceae
Exons: 3
Source: RefSeq, a predicted model, not a curated record
UAUGCACACUAGUAAAGAGGAACGCGAACCCUAACAAAUUCGAAACUCACGAAAAUUUGAACAAUUGAUUCACCAAUUUCAAACCCGUUUUUUCUUACUCUGAAAUCCUAAACUCUUCUCAAUCGAUUCAUCUGCGAAUCAUUUUGUUGUUAGAACUUGCCGUCAAUCGCAAGCCCUUCAAAUCGCAAACAGUUCCUUCAUAAAUUGCAAAACCUUUGGCAAUCGAUUAUCUUUUUCGAGUGUUUGAGUCUCAAGGUGUUGAUAUUUGGUGCAAUGGCAGCCAAAUGGUUUAUUCCGUUAGUUUAUCUGAGUUACCUAUUGAAUUUCAUCCUCAAUCAUGUAUUUGGUGUUGAUUCCUUGUUUACUGACUACCAUUUUAUUUGAUUUUUCAGAAUACUGAAAGGUUUUUAAUUGUUGAUUCUGGUCUGGGUCUAUUUUCACCGCAUGAAGUUUUAGUUCAAGUUUUUGAAUAUAUAGAGCCAUGAGUUUUGUUUUUCGAGGAGCAAGAGGUGACAUAGAAAAUGGGUUUCCAGGAUUUAUACCUGAGAGGCGUGCAUUGCGUGUUCAUGCAACACGACCUAGUAAUUCCAACUCACUCACUUUUCUCGUAACAGGUAUGUUCUCAUAUUAAGUUUAAUUUAUAAUUUGUUGUAUAGAUAAGUUCCAUUUUGUAUCUUCUCCAAUGUUCCAUUCAAAACUUAAUCAGAAGAUAUUUCAGUUCUCCUGUUAUUCAUGAUAUGGGACUGGUCCACUUCUCCCUAUAUUUGUUUGUGUAUAUUUCUCACAUCUUAUAUGUAUUUAAUUAUAUAAGUUUAUUUCUAGAAUUUGAUUUUGAUAAUUACUUAUCUCUACAGUUCUAGAUUUCUACAAUUUCUUUAUAUGCAAUGGAGAUGCCAAUAUGUAAUUUAGAUGUGUCUGCAAUAUGUAAUUUGAUACAAAUAUUAUCUUAUUGGAUAAUGAUUGUAAGCCAACUUUUCUCUGACAGUUUGUAUUAUUCUCUCUUUGUAUCACUUUUUCUUCUUAUUUCUUUGUUGCAGAUAUAUGGUAUCAAAAUUGUAGUACAAAGCUACUUGCCAGUCAAAUAUGUUGUUGUUCGUCCUGGUAUUAAUUGUCUCUUGGUACUACAAAACAUAAAGUCAAGUUCACUUGAUAAGGCCCAUCUAAGGAUUGCUUCUACAAAGGCAAUUCUUCUCUUGGUAAGGCUUUGGAUUUAUAAGAUUCCUACUGAUAUUUUUCACUUUGAGGACAUCCGAGAUAGGACCAUCCUUUUUACUUUAAUUUCCAGUGCAUUUUUUAUUUGUUCAUCACAUUUUUCAAUUUGUUCAUCACAUUAUUAAGAAGCUAAGGUAACUCCCUUUUUCUUUUUCAGUUAAUUUAAUUUCUGUUGUUUUCAUGUCAGUGUCACCUCUAUACAUGUUCUAAUGUACGUGUUCUAGCAAGUCUCUUGGAUAAUAUCUAUAGUUUGACUUUUCAUUUCUUUUUUCUGUAGUGUACAACAAAGGAAUAUCAAUGUGAUGCUGGAGAUCUGAUCAACUGCAGAAUGAAUGUUUGGUGGGCUUUAGAUAUAAAGUAAGUGCUUAUUAUAAAGAGAUAUUUGUUCAAAAAGCAAAAAAAAAAAAAUGCAUGGAUUCUACUAAGUUUAUAUAAAGCAUACACAAUAAAAAGUGUUUUUUCAGUGAUUUCAGAAGCAAAAAUAUGCAUGGAUUCUACUAAGGUCUAAUUUUCUAUUAGUUAAUGAGGGCCACAAAUCUACUAAGGUCUGGUUUUUAUUAGUCAUUUUUCUGAAGCAGUUUAACAGUUUUAUUUUUCCCAUUUCCACUAAAAUAUAUUGAAUAUCAUUGAAGUUUAACUCCCUUUUUAUAUUAUAUUUUAUAGAAGCUAAAACCCUUAGAUGUUAGAUGUUAGACGUUCAUCCGAGUCUCCUUAUUGCAGAUAAUGGAUCAGCAAGAAAGACAAAUUAUAUUUUACUAUGAAUUAAUUACAUUGUGAACUUUCUAAUGUAUUGUUGGCAUAAUGAGACUUAUUAUUAUAAGAUUAGGAUUUGAUAUGUUUUUCUUUUGU